This 451-nucleotide ribosomal RNA is filed under the name bacterium Fw70-3. RNAcentral's name for it is "bacterial SSU rRNA". It matches the Rfam family "Bacterial small subunit ribosomal RNA", at positions 28 to 491 of the family's 1533-position model. The record is from RNAcentral.
GACGAACGCUGGCGGCGUGCUUAACACAUGCAAGUCGAACGAUGAAGCUGGAGCUUGCUCCAGUGGAUUAGUGGCGAACGGGUGAGUAACACGUGAGCAAUCUGCCCUUGACUCUGGGAUAACUGCGGGAAACUGUAGCUAAUACCGGAUACGACACCUUGGGGCAUCCCGAGGUGUGGAAAGAAUUUCGGUCAAGGAUGAGCUCGCGGCCUAUCAGCUAGUUGGUGAGGUAAAGGCUCACCAAGGCGACGACGGGUAGCCGGCCUGAGAGGGUGACCGGCCACACUGGAACUGAGAUACGGUCCAGACUCCUACGGGAGGCAGCAGUGGGGAAUAUUGCACAAUGGGCGCAAGCCUGAUGCAGCAACGCCGCGUGAGGGAUGAAGGCCUUCGGGUUGUAAACCUCUUUUAGCAGGGAAGAAGCGAAAGUGACGGUACCUGCAGAAAAAGC